This 259-nucleotide ribosomal RNA is filed under the name uncultured bacterium. Its description in RNAcentral is "partial 16S ribosomal RNA". It matches the Rfam family "Bacterial small subunit ribosomal RNA", at positions 73 to 334 of the family's 1533-position model. The record is from RNAcentral.
UCUUGCAAACUAAAGAUGGCGACCGGCGCACGGUGAGUAACACGUAUCCAACCUGCCGAUAACUCGGGGAUAGCCUUUCGAAAGAAAGAUUAAUAUCCGAUAGUAUAUUAAAACCGCAUGGUUUUACUAUUAAAGAAUUUCGGUUAUCGAUGGGGAUGCGUUCCAUUAGUUUGUUGGCGGGGUAACGGCCCACCAAGACUACGAUGGAUAGGGGUUCUGAGAGGAAGGUCCCCCACAUUGGAACUGAGACACGGUCCAA